RNAcentral lists this ribosomal RNA (480 nucleotides) under uncultured bacterium. Its description in RNAcentral is "bacterial SSU rRNA". It matches the Rfam family "Bacterial small subunit ribosomal RNA", at positions 30 to 507 of the family's 1533-position model. The record is from RNAcentral.
UGAACGCUGGCGGCGUGCUUAACACAUGCAAGUCGAACGAAGCACUUAUGACAGAUUCUUCGGAUGAUGGAUUAAAUGACUGAGUGGCGGACGGGUGAGUAACGCGUGAGUAACCUGCCUUUCAGAGUGGAAUAACAUUUGGAAACGAAUGGUAAUACCGCAUAAUGUCAUGGGACCGCAUGAUCCUAUGACCAAAGGAGCAAUCCGCUGAAAGAUGGACUCGCGUCCGAUUAGCUAGUUGGAGAGGUAACGGCUCCCCAAGGCGACGAUCGGUAGCCGGACUGAGAGGUUGAACGGCCACAUUGGGACUGAGACACGGCCCAGACUCCUACGGGAGGCAGCAGUGGGGAAUAUUGCACAAUGGGGGAAACCCUGAUGCAGCAACGCCGCGUGAAGGAAGACGGUCUUCGGAUUGUAAACUUUUGUUCUUAGUGAAGAAACAUGACGGUAGCUAAGGAGAAAGCCACGGCUAACUACGUG